Molecule: small nuclear RNA, 164 nt
Organism: Hemiscyllium ocellatum (epaulette shark)
Lineage: Eukaryota; Metazoa; Chordata; Chondrichthyes; Orectolobiformes; Hemiscylliidae
Product: U1 spliceosomal RNA
Exons: 1
Source: RefSeq, a predicted model, not a curated record
ACAUUUUCAGCUCAGGGAAGAUGACAUGAUCAGUGCAGUGCCUCUCCCAGGACGAGGCUAUUCCUUUGCACUUCGGGUGUGCUGACGCCUGCGAUGUCCCCAAAUGCGGGAUACACGACUGCAACAUUUGUGGUAGUGGGAGACUGCGUUUGCGUUCUCCCCCG